Molecule: ribosomal RNA, 238 nt
Filed under: uncultured bacterium
Lineage: Bacteria
Description: partial 16S ribosomal RNA
Rfam family: Bacterial small subunit ribosomal RNA
Source: RNAcentral
GUGGCGACACCGCGCGGAACCCGAAAGCCGUUCUCAGUUCGGAUCGGAGUCUGCAACCCGACUCCGUGAAGCUGGAUUCGCUAGUAAUCGCGCAUCAGCCAUGGCGCGGUGAAUACGUUCCCGGGCCUUGUACACACCGCCCGUCAAGCCAUGGGAGCCGGGGGUGCUUGAAGUGCGUCGCCGCAAGGCGCGCCCUAGAGCAAAACCGGUGACUGGGGCUAAGUCGUAACAAGGUAUC